CUCUCUCUCUCUCUCAAUAAUAAACAUUAAAAGAUUCUUUUCAAAAAAGAAAAUACUUGUUAUUAUCUAAGUAUCUCAAUUGGCUGAAGGACAAAGAACAAGCUACUUAUCCUAUUUUCCAAAGCCCACCAAGAAUGGAAUCCUGCCAAUAACUAUGGUUGUAAGAUUAGCAGAUCUUCCCCCAGUCAAGCCUUCAGAUGAGAUCACAGCCCAGGCCAACAGCUUGACUACUACAUAGAGAGACCCUGAAAGAGAGGUGUCUGGCUAAUCCAUGCCAGAUUCCUGACCCACAGAAACCAUGAGCUAAUAAAGUUUUGUUGUUUUAAGCUGCUAAGCUUUGGUUGGGGUAAUUUGUUACACAGCAAUAGAUAAUACACUCUCCAUGUCACCUUCUUGUGGCCACUCUUGUAUAUUGUCAUGUACUAUUGAAGUUGUCAGUAUUCUGUCAAGAAUGAACUCAGUGCAACACAUUCAGUUGAGUAUCUAGAAGUAUCUAUGUGAUGGCAGAUUGACUGAAUACUCAUUGAGCGCCUUGACAUAGAAGGAACAUUCAUAGAUUGAAGAGCUCUUUCUGUCUUAGUUUAAAUGUAGUGCUGUUUGCUGGGAGCUGGCCCUUGUGAAAGACCGUGUACCCAUGCUGGUUCUACCUCUUACUUUUGGCAAGUCAUUUGAAUCUCUGUGAACUGGGGUCCUCAUCCCCAAAUGAGGGGCCAAUUGAAAUGCACUCUGAAGUCCCUUUCCAUGGACAUUCUAGGAUUUGAAGGCGGUCGCUAAGCAUCAGAUUGAGAAAGUGACUUAGAGACCAUGGAAAGAACAGGCAACUUCCUAGUUGGGCACAGUAAAGGGUUAGAUCCAUGAGCCCCUCUACUUGCUCUACUUCCGUAAGAAAGUCUUUUUGUAUUUCUUUGAUGCACUGACUUCACAAUUACAUAAAGACCUAAAUCUGGUUAUUUUUAUGCUCCAAUGAUUUAGUAAAAGUGAGAAUUAGAAAUCCAGAUCCUCUGACUUCUGGCUUGUUGCUUUUUCCUCCAACAUCAGAAUCCGCAUUCCCUUUAUUCCUCAGUCUGUUUCUAGGUUAUAAUUUUACUUCAUGCAGCUAUGAUGCCAUGAACUUGGAAAACAAAUAAAUACCAUUAAGCCUUCAGAGCCCUGGAAGUUUGGAAAACAGAGUUGGCCUGAGUGCUAGGGAAGACCCACUUCCUGAGCAAGGAGAGGGAAGGAGACGGUCCUUCUGCAUUACCUUUUUUUUUUUUUAAUGUUUAUUUAUUUUUGCAAGAGAGAGAGCACGAGAGCUUGUGCACACGCACAUGAGUGCACAAGUAGGAGAAGGGCAGAGAGGGGUGGAGAUAGAGGAUCCAAAGCAGGCUCUUCACUGAGAGUGGAGAGCAGGAUGCAGGGCUCGAACUCACAUACCAGGAGAUCAUGACCUGAGCCGGAGUCGGAUGCUUCACUGACUGAGCCACCCUGGCACCGCACUCCUGCAUUAUCUUAUGCUUCAAACUGAGAUGACCCCCAUACCUCGAUGGUGUAUAGGCGGGGUGACUCAUUUGUCUACAUAUGAAGAGGGAUUCUGAAAAAAGCCCUGAGAUCAAAAUACGGCCCUUGGGAGCUGUCCCCCUGGGGCCAUGGAAAGGGGAGACUCCAGAGGUCUGACUUGUAGCUGUCCUCAUCUGCUCCACAAGUGUCUGUCGCACAGGUCCAGGGGAAGUCUCUUUCCUUACUCCCUCCCUUUCAAGUACCUAAUAGCUCCUCACUCUCCAGUGAAGCUUGCACCAAACACGCCCCAGGCACAGAACUGUCGGUGCCUCAACCUACUUCUCCAGUUUUCUCUCAUGUACUGUGUGUUCCAGCCAAUUUGUACUCCUCUGUUCCCUGAACACAUCCUGUACUUUUCAUCCAGAUGCCUUUGUUCCUGUAGCUCAUUCCACUUGCAAUGCACCUUCUCCCUCUGUCGAAACUCCGUUGAAUCUUCAGGACUCACUUCCAAUGCUACCCCCUGCCCCUCAGACUGGCUUCUGAUGCUCCAAAGAGGAUGUGAACUCUGUCACUGUUUUCCAUACUUGGUAAUCAUGUAGGAAUAUGCCCUUGUUGCCCUUCUGCAUUAUAAACCCCUUAAAGACAGGAACUAAUAAACCUUCAUUGAAUUUUAUAAAUUUAAUGUUUCAUUCUAUUUGGCACUCUCAGACCUGCGGGCAGUGGUGUUUUGGAACUGAUGUCAGAGGGGGAUUUUUCUAAAUAAAUAAGGGUCAGCUCAUGGGGAUGGGAGAUGGUAUUUGAGCAUAUUGUUGGCUUCAAACAUGAAAAGAUUAAUACCUUAAAGUGCUUUAAACGGGUGGCUAACAUGUAAAAUUAAUACCAGUUAACAAAACUUAUCUCCUUUUGCCAUCCAGAUAUUAAAAACAUCCACAACUUAUUUUUAUGCAGAAUUUCCUGCUGCUAAGUAUCAGCUCUAGCCAUCUAGGUGAAUAAUCAAGUGUCAUUUCUAAUAAGUCAGCGGUUCCUGUCAAGAGUUGUGACCAAUUAGAACUCACCCCGAUGAGGAGGUGGCUGCUGGUGUUGCCAAGCAACAGCCAAGCUGGGAGGCACAUUUAGAGAUGCUCGGUUAGAUUUAACCAGUGGCAAGUCAGAGUGACAUUAUGAUUCUGGCAAAGGAAAGCCAAAUUAUAGCCCAGGAUGGGGUACCCGUGAUGAGGAGUGUGUUUUCUUUUAAAUGCAAAUGGAAAAGGAACAUUUUAACCAGAAUUUAAGCAGUCCAUCAUUAUACUGAUUUUAAUUAGGAGAUUAGGUGUCAGUGGAAUACAACUGUGUUGAAAGAUAAUGGUCUCUUGCUGCUAGAUAAAUACCCAGACAUUCUGCAAAAUGGGCAACUGGUCAGACAGGGACAAUGUCUUUUUGGACUACGAAGUAUUUAUUGCCACAGCCACACUUGGUUAUAAUGACUUUCAUUUUUAUUGUUUGAAAAGAUUAAGAAAUAAAAGCAAAUAUUAAAAAUAGACUGCUGCAGGCUCAUGCAGCCGAGAGAAAGCUGCUUGCUGCAACAUUACUGGAAGCCUGGGUUCUGUCCUAGAAGCCCUCAUGCAUGAUCAUCCGGAAAGUGUACGGUGAAAAUUUAAAGGCCAAACUAAACCAUGAUGAAGACUGUAAUUCUGUGAAGCCUUUUGCACUGAAAUGAUCGUAGCUAUGCAUUUACUCAUAAGCUGGCUAUAUCAACUUAAAUUUUUUAAAAUUGUAGUCAUUCUGGAGUAAUAUGUCUUCUCCAAGGCAGGAAAGGCCUGGAGGGAAUAAUAACCACAUCUGCCUCUGCCUUUAAGAUUCAUACAUUAUUGACUGUGCCUUCCUGACAGGAAACAUCUGGAUGAAAGUGAAAAAUUAGGCAGAGAGCUGGAUUCUCGGCAACUGUGAGAGAUACCAGCCUUCCCUGUCGGUCUGGCUUUUCUUUAACUGAGUCCCUAUCCACAGAGAUAUGAUUGGCUCAUUUAGUGUUGAGUGACACGCCCAGCCUGGCUCAGACUGUCAUGUCUGAAGCUUCCAGGUCUCCUGUAUCUGCUCAGUCACCAUCAGCUUAGUUUUGUGGGUGAAUGAGGCAAUAACCAUCACUUCUACAGUGCUUUGAGGACUGAGAAGACACAAGCCACCAUAUUGGGUUGGAUCCGUGGUCCAGCCAAUUUGGAGCCACUUAAAAAUGGCUGCCCUUCAUGGAUUCUACCACGAAAGUCGCAGUGCCCCAUGGCCUCAUUUCUCUCAGUAGCUGACUUUGAUGUUAACGACCCAUGCUUUCACCUACUAAAAACUUAACUGAAACUUAAGCCCGGAACAAGAUUAAACGGAUUUCUUCACUGCAGAUCUCUCCCAACCUGUUAAUAUGUUAAGGUAGAUAGCAAAUCGCUCAGAAGAUGGUUUGCAGUGUUUUCCGGAAUUGUAUGACCACGGGUCCUGUCAAACCCUUUUCCUCAGUAGUAAUUCAUAGCUUGAAAGUUCAUUGUCAUAGAAGUAUAGUUUUCAUGCUUUUCUCUUAAAUGUAUUAUUUUGUAUUUUCUUGGUUACACUGAAAGCGAGCUGCCACUUUUGUGUUGACUUACACAAUGUUAGAAGAAUGUUAGAAACUUAUUCUAAUUGAUGUGAUAUUUCUAAAAUCAGAAGAGCUUAGAGGAAUAUACAAAUGUGUAGAUUUCAUGGUGUGCUCCCUCUUUCAGAUGAAUUACAAAAUUCAAAAAUAAGAUUAGUGCUAACCUCGGUCCCCAGGGAAUCCCCCUUAUUUAUAUUUUUCCCUCAGAGGAGAAUUAAUUUAGCCCCAGUUUUGUUUCUUAAAAUUAAAUCUAUUUACUUCCUGACCCCUAAUAAAGUUUUACACAACCCCAGGGUUACUCAUUAAUAGUCUUUGGUAAAGAAUCUAGCACAAGACUCUAAAAAUCUCAAUAAAUCUACUGGUUGCCCUUUUUAAAAACUUAAUCUUUUAGGGGACAGGGUGAAAACUCUGGCAGGUCAGCUGGGCAAAAUGUUCUCUAAUAAAAAAAAAUCCAUUGUUUCCUCAGCGGUGCUCAGCAGUCCUGUAACUUAAACCUCAAUAGCUUGGCUGUCACUGGACUAUGAUUUCGGUGGCCUUUUUUUCUGGAAUCAGGGAUGCAGCAACUACAUUUUCACCAGUUCUGCAUCGUUCUGUGUUACCCCUAGCCUUAAGCCGAAACCCAAUCUUCUUUUAAGUAAAAAUAUGGCUUCAUGAUAUAAUGCUGAUUCUAAAAUAACUUCCAAGCGUUGCUGAGCCAUGCUGCCUAAUAUGCACACAGAUAAAGACGGUGCCAUCUAGAGCCUUUGAAUAUUAAUGACACUUCCAGACACAGGUAGUAAAGGACUCAGACCACCAAGGUGCUAAAGGAAAAAAGCCUCAGAAUUCCAAGGGAAAGCAAAUCUUUAUUUCAAGAAUAAAUUCUGCAGUUUGAUAAUAAAAGUCCCCAAGCUACUUACAAAUUCAGAAACGAAUGGAGAUAUGGAUAUUUCAAAGCUAUUUCAGGGAAAACGGACUCAGAUGCCCAUAAACCGAGUGGAGAGCAGGCUCGGGUCUGUUGUCCGAGCCUCUCUUAUUGCCUCUGCCCCUCCACCCCAUGUCCUUCUGUGCCCCAUUCUCCUCUCUGUGUCUUUGUGGCCUGUUUUUUCUGUUUCUGCAUGUAUAUGCUCGUGACUCCAAAGAGAAAGCCAACGAUUUGCCUCCUCCCCUUAUUUAAUUUUUCCUUGAUAAAACUAUUCCCUUUUAUUUUUCUUUUAUCUUAGUCUCAACAUAUAUCCUUCAGUAGAAAGCUUCCUGACUCUUUGAUUCUUCAUUCAUCCAUCCAUUCAUUCAUCCAGCAAAUCAUUAUUGAGUGCCUGUUCUGUGCCUAGUGCAAUGCAGUUAGCAAUAAAGAAAAGAGAAGUAAAGUAAAUGGACUGUUCACUGGCAAUAGCACUACAGAGAAAAAUAAACAAAGCAGGGAAGGGCAUAGAGAGUUCUGGGGCCCAGCUCCUGCAAGUCUGGGGAAGCCCUGAGUCUGAGAUGGUCAGGCAAGGGACCAAGAGGAAGACUCACACCAGUGCUUUCCACUCUGACUCUUAUCAGAAUUGUGCCAGGGAACUUGUAAAACAUACAGGUUCUCAGUCACCCUUAGACAUUCUCAUUCUGUAGGUCCUAGGGUGGCUAGAGUUAUGUAUUUUUUAAAAAUGUUUAUUUAUUUAUUUUGAGAGAGCGGGAAGGAGAGCAAGGUAGGGGCAGAGAGAGAGAGAGGGAGAGAGAGAAGCCAAGCAGGCUCCGUGCCACCAGCACAGAGCCCGUCACAGGGCUGGGACUCCAGAACCACGAGAUCAUAACCUGAGCCUAAACCAAGAGUCGGACGCCUAACUGAGCCACCAAGGCGCCCCUAGAAUUAAGUAUUUUAACAAGGAUCCUAGGUGAUUCUGGUGCAGGCCUUGGUCACACAGGUUUGAGGACCAGUGACAUAGAGAGCAAAGGCCAGUGGGAGGUUAAGGUCCAAAGAAAGCAUCCAGAAACUUAGAGGGUUAGUUUGGUUAACUAUUGGUUAACCCAAAUUAUUGGUUAACUCAGUAUUUUACUGGCUACAUGUAAUAAAGGUGACUCACCUAUGCUGGGCAAGGAGGCAGUCAGGGGCACUAAAGUCUGGUACCCUGCCCUCCUCCUCCGCCCCUCCACCCAUCUUCCCCAGGAUAAAAGACCACCCCCUUGUCAUAGCCUCCAUCCCGUCUACAAUCUGGUGUAGAGUGAUGCUCCACACUCAGAGCCCCAAAUCUUGCUCUUCGGAUUCCAAAGGAAGCUCCCUUUGAAAUUAGGAAAACUCUUUUCUCUCCUAAGACUGUUUAACUUCCAAGACCCCUGUCCCAAUAGGACUCGAGAAAGCCUGAUCUGCUGUUCAAGACUGAGCACCGGCCUCCUUGUUCUGGAAGGCACCCCCUUCCUCCUUCGGGAGCAACACGCACCAUUGACUCAGUGCAGGAAAGAAAAUCACAGGGCAUGUGAUUUAAUGUUUGAAAAUAUUAUCUUUGUCACAUAUUUUUUCAUCCUGGUGUUCCUUUCUAUUUCAGCAGCGCCGAACACCUCUGGCUGCUCCUUGCUCCUUGCUUCUUGCCAUGCAUUUCCCUUCCACUUUCUCCUGGACUCGCAGGCUUUUCUUCCCGAGGCUUACUUGUAGGUGUCUCCUCCGCCCUGCACUUAGAUGUGGUUCUCCCCACCACCCUCUUCUCUACCUAGGUAGACUGCAUGCCCUCUGGGGGUGAGCUCGCCCAUGUCUGGGUUUUUGAGGACCAUCUUUCCUGCCGUUCUCUCCUGAGCUCCAGAUCUGCAGUCAACUACUUGCUGAUGCAUCUAUUUAGAUGCCCCACCCCCCACCAAGAACCUUAAAUUCGUCCGGUCUGAAUGCUCCGGAGGUGGGGAGAAGGAGGUCUACUGCUGCCACUGGAAUGGCAUCCUUUCUAAUGGAAACCCAAGAACUUAAGCGUCCCCUUCCGGGUGAACUCCUGGCAGGCCCACGUGACCAGAUGGCAGAGCUACGUUUCUCAAAGGGCGUACCGGUAAGAAAGGAGAAAUUUGUAUUUCCUCUGUGUGAAAUGUGUUUCCACGCCUCAGCUGGUUCCAAACUUAGGCAGAAGACACCGAAGUGUUGCUCCUGAGCCCCCUAGGUUUCCAAAAUAGCCCCCAUAUGCUCCCCUUUCCCCUGCCCUCCAGAUAGCCCCUGGGACAGUCCCACGGAGCCUUAGAACAGCGUUCAAAAAUCACACAUAGGGUAGAGGAGCCGGGCAAACAGAGAGGUUAAGCGUAUUCAGGAGCUGGAUUAGGAUGUUGGCUCUGACUUACACGCUGUGUGACAUGCUCACAAAACUUCAUCUCUCUGUGCCUCAGUUUCCUUAUCUGUCAAAUGAGGGUGCUCAUAAUCGUAUUUACGUCAAAGGGAUGUGGUAAGAUUAAGCGUGUUAAUAUAAAUGGGAAGCUCUCAGAGUGGUGCUGGCACAGAUAAAAGCUUGGUGGGCUUUAGCUGGUGCUAUAUGAGCUCAGCGCACCCUCUGCCCUCAGAUACCAAAGGCUGUGUGGAAACACAAAACCUCACUGAACGUGGGCAGGACCACUGGUUUCUGAGUGAGUUAUAUUGGAUGGGAUUAAUUGUGAAGUAAGGGACCUCUCCUCUUCCUGGGGGCGGGGCUUUAGAAGAUUUCUAGGAAUUAAUCAGGACUGUACGGAUGAGCAUCUUGUGAUUAAGAGCGGCUUUCACUUAUUGAACUGAAGACAGGCGACUCUGAGCCCAGGUUUUCUGGAACAGCUAGACAUGGUGGAUGAGUCUGGAAGGACGCUUGCUUUGGAGUUGCCUGGGCACUUGGGACUCUGACUGAGGCAGUCCCUGAGUGCUUCACAUCAGAAGGGUUCAAGUGCACAGUCCCGAGUUCUUAGAAAAUUCAGAGCAGACACCGAGGCCGCACCAGCAAUUGAGAGGCCAUCAGGGAAGAUCAAGUGUGACAGAACUUGGCCAAGAGGCGGGACAGACAGCCCGAAGAAAAGGGCGGGUCUGUGGGUGGGGGAAAGAGGGAGCCCAGAGUUUGAGGGCUGGUAGCAUGUUGUGGAUGCCCCCUGGUCCACUGACUUGGCCCCCAAGGUUAACCUGGGCAUGCCUGCGUGCCUAGAGUUCACUCCUCCCCAGUGAUCCGCGGCCACCUCUUCCCUAUUUCUGACUGGACUCACAGCUCACCUGUGUUUCAACCUGUUCUCUGGUUCCUUGCUGUGUAAGAGGUGUUUCACCGUUCAGAUGCAUCCGCAUCACCUGGGAGUUUAUUAGAAAUGCAGGAUCUCAGACGUGCUGAGUCAGAAUCUGCAUUUUAACAAGAUCCCCAGGUGAUCUAUCUGACCUGGAAGCAUGAGAGGGCACUCCUCCGGUUUUCUCCUGGGCGCCCCCAAAAUGCCUGGGGCAGAGUCUUGGGACUUCACAGGAGUGCCUGUAGACUCACAAUUGCUUCACAGCAAUUGGAGAUGUGGGAGGCUGGAGAAAUGGAAGACACUCGGAUACAUGCCCUGCAGCAUAGGAGGCCCCAGUGGGCAGGGCGUUUUAGUGCACCUUCUGGACAAGUGAUGUGGUGUGAACCAGCGCUCCAUCACCAUUUGGAGAGAAGAAACCUCUUUCGGGGAGGGGGUGGGGUGAGUCUGCUUUUCCCGCGUCUUACCUCAUUGAGCUUCUCAGGACUGAAAGCAGAAGUCAGGACACUUCUGACCUCUUCCCAUCUUUUGUCACGUAAAAACAGGACGCUGUCCAAUACGGGUUUGGACUCCAAGCCAGACACCUGAGGACAACAAGCAGAAGAUUAGGACACAAGGGAGCCAAAGACACCUUGGUGGCAACACAAGUCUAUUGUAAACACUCGGGUUAAAGUCCACCAGUGACCAACAAAUUAGGAGAUUUCUCUUGCAAGGACGCAGAGGAAGCAUGCAAAGCCUCAUGGAUAACGAGGUAAAGGUUCAUGGCUGAGGGCCUGGAGGCUGCAGAUGGGUGGGCUCUGUCACAGUGCGGUCACCACUGUACAAACAACUCAGCAACUUCUACGUGUUGUGCAUUCCCCCUGCUGAGUGAGGGUUCCCCCAGGACCCUACAGAAGGCUUCUCAGAGAUGGGCUAGUCUUUCCCAGGGUUGAGUUUCACGUCUGAACUUUGUGGUGAGGGGUUUUGUGUGGCUGGAUUGGUCAGGUUGGGCUGGGAGUUGACGGAGUCAUGUCUCUGGGUCUUUGGUGAUGUGUAUGUAGAGCAAGAGAGAACGUGGGGAGCAUGGGGGGAGGGAAAGGGAAAAACAGAACCUUUCAGAGGCAUGUCCCAAUGGAGCCACUUCUAAGAGAACACCUGACAUGUUUCCGAGUUCUUCUAUUCAUUCAUCCAUUCAUUUUUUUUUUCACUCAGCAAACAUUUGUUGUGUCUAAUGUGCAAGGAGUUGGCUACUCAGUGUUGAAUAAAGAAGACAUGGUGGGGCGCUUGGGUGGCUCAGUUGCUUAAGCGUCUGACUUUGGCUCAGGUCAUGAUCUCGCGGUUCGUGGGUUCGAGCCCCACAUCGGGUUCUGUGCUGACAGCUCAGAGCCUGGAGCCUGUUUUAGGUGCUAUGUCUCCCCCUCUCUCUGCCCCUCCUCUACUCACGCUCUGUCUCCCUCUCCUUCUCUCUCUCUCUCUCUUUC
Acinonyx jubatus (cheetah) is the source of this 9678-nucleotide long non-coding RNA. RefSeq lists it as uncharacterized. The transcript is spliced from 2 exons. Lineage: Eukaryota; Metazoa; Chordata; Mammalia; Carnivora; Felidae. The record is from RefSeq and is a predicted model, not a curated record.